UCCCUGGUGGCUCAGAGGUUAAAGCAUCUGCCUGCAAUGUGGGAGACCUGGGUUCGAUCCCCGGCUCGGGAA
This 72-nucleotide transfer RNA is filed under the name Ovis aries (sheep). It matches the Rfam family "tRNA". From Rfam's summary of the family: Transfer RNA (tRNA) molecules are approximately 80 nucleotides in length. Their secondary structure includes four short double-helical elements and three loops (D, anti-codon, and T loops). Lineage: Eukaryota; Metazoa; Chordata; Mammalia; Artiodactyla; Bovidae. The record is from Rfam by way of RNAcentral.